UCAUCCCUUCAGAAGCAGCGGCUCUCCCGAGGGAAGGCCCGAUCCGCUUUCCAAGGCUGCUGGGUCUGUCUCUUGGCCGCGGGGCCAGCUCUCUGUUACCGGUUCAGAGCCGGCGCUGAGGGAGCGUCCCACUGCAUUGGAAGUUGACUCCAGCUCCCUGGUUCCCAGUGUACCAGCUGCACCGGCACACCUCGUGCACCGGCACCUGUACACUAGCUGUCCGGUCCCCUGGCCAAGAGGAGGGCUAGCGUGGAAAGGACGGAGCCCCAGCUCUGCAGACACACAGCCUUGAUUGACAGCCGAGCCCCGAGCCUCAGUUUCCUCACCAGAGACGUGAGUGUUGACUUUAGCACAUAUUGUGUGCAAACAAAUGACAAGUGCCUCCAUCUCCGCCUCUGGCACCAGUAACCCCUGCUGGGGCCCACAGUGGAGAAGAAGACUAAGAGCCUGAGAGAGAGUGGAUGCCUGAUGCUGAGAACAGUUCAGUGCUCAGGGCCAACAGCCCAAUAGAAAAUCCUCGCUCUGGCUCUACUCUGUAAAUGUGUGCCUAAUAAUUCACAAAAAGAAAAGAAAUAGAAAAACAAUACUUUGCCUUGUAAGCGCAAGGACCCGAGUUCAAUCCCUGGUACCAAAAAAAAAAAAUUAAAAAACAAAAACAAAAACAAUACUUCAAGCAAUCCAAAGGUGGGAACUGAAGAAAAAAAGCUUUGUUUGUUUGAAUAAUCAUCUUCCAAAUGAUGCUGAGGUUUUGAAAGGCCUGCUCAUUUGUACAGCAGAUAAGCAACAUCGGGGCGUCCAGUUAUUUGGAAAUGACACCAUCAAACUGAUCUAUAUUAAGUGCAGGAAGAAUAGAGUUCCUCUGUCUCCUCUUCCUGAUCCCCUAGGCCCGUAAAGUCAAGACCCAGCUGGGGUUUCUUUUGAGGGAGCGAGCAUUUAAAGAAAGGGCGAGAGACAAUGAGCUGCAGGGUUCUGCUCUGGCCCUCUACAGACGCUGGCUUCCUCUCCCUGGGUCUCAGUUUUUCUAGCUGCAGAACGGGAGCCCUGUGGGGACAGAAGAGACGUGUGGCAUAAGGAGCGUUCAUUUUCUCCCUUCUGUGAGGCCAUAUCAGAGAAAACUCAGGGCCCAAGCUGCCCCACCCACCCCUUUCUUCCUGCCUUAUGCAGGGUAAGUCAAGGGGGGAUGGACCACAGCUGGGACCCCAGUGCUGACUCAUGAGCCAGGCUCAGCAAAUAGGAAGCAAAACUUCAUCAGGCUUCUCUGCCCCCACCCCCUUCCCUGGGGCUACAGUGGCUGCUUCUGUUGACAAGUAUUGUGUGUCCAAGCUCUUUUCCACUGAGGAAGCCUUUGUUAGGAAGAGGGGACAUAGGGGCAUAACUUAGGAGUCUGGGCCAGAACAUGGGGAAAUAGCCGGGUGGCCCCGUUUCUGGAAAUGAACAGGGCUAAAGCAAAGAAAGCCACGAGCAUCAGCUGGGGGACCUUCCUAGGAAGGCAAGUCCUGAGUUUCCCCAUCUCUCGCCUUGGGACUUGGUGCAGAGAGAAUGGCUUGCGUGUUUCUCUGGCUGAUGGUCUCCCAACAUUUAUCCAAUCCUCAGUUCCAAGUCCAAGAGCCUGAGGAGGGGGAUACAAGAUGCUGGUGAUUGGUGGAGCCAGUGACCAAUCAGAGGACACAGCUUGUGCAAGAGGAAGCCUGAAGAGCACGUGAGAGGGAUGGAGAAGUGUCCCUGGGUGAAUGAGCAGGGUCACCAGAGAGGACUAGGGGAUUCCCAGGAGGAAGGCCCCAGAGGGUGCUGUGGAAGAUGUGGUCCAAGCCAAGCUGCCACAGGAGAGGAGAGAGGAAGAAGGAUCCUGGCUGGGAGUGGGCAUCCCAGGCAGGAGCAGGAAGAGCUGGAGCACCUAGAACCCACAGAAGCCGGGAAGGUGGAUGCAGAGGUAUGUAGCACCAGGAUUGCUACAGCAAUGGUGAGGAAGGUGGACUGACAGGCUGCAGGCUGGGCAGACCCCAGACCUCACUCGGAAGAGGAUGGCAGUCCCAGGCCCCAACUUGCGCUCCUGUGAACACAGACAAAGCCCUAGAGAUUUAGAGAUGCAGGAGCUCUGACCAGUCUCCAACCCAGCACUCUGCCUCCAUGUGCAGUUAGGUAAACUGAGGUCCAGAGUGGAUAAGGAACUCACUGCUGGUCACACCGCCAGUUUCGAGCAGGGCCAGAUCCCCAACUUCAAAUCUGAGACACCUGCUCUGUCCUCUGCAAAAGUUCAACUUUCACCAAGCACCAGGUCCCUUUCCCAGCCUCCUCACCGGUUCAAAGUUGAGCUGCUGCAUCGCCCCACCUCAGGGGAAGAAGUGUCUGCAGCAAGAGCCAACUGCUCCAUGAGAGGUUUUGUGUGUGACCGCGGGCCAAAGCACUGGGAGCAGCAGGUGGCGGUCAUGUGUUGUGUGUCAGCUGCCAUCCUAAGCACUUUACAGGGUUUGCCACCACCUGGAGGAGGUGAGGGAUCCCAAACACACCCAGAGGGUCCUUGCCCUGAUGUGAGCAGUUACCAGCAGGGCUCCGAAAUACUCAGGCGAAGAGCAAGGGACUGGACCCUGCUCAGUGAAAGAUGCCAUCACCCAUCUAGACAACCAGCCAGCAUCUGGGGCCACCCUGGUCACCUCUCACACACCACAUCUGUCACCUCCACGCCCUGUACAGUCAAUCCCAAAGGAUCUUCCAAAUACAGCUACCUCUCUCUGUCUCAAAUGGGCCCCACCCCUUGAGGCCACCAGCAUCCUCGCUCUGCACACUGCCAUAGUCUUGCCCUAACACGUAUCUUCCCUGCUCUCUGGCCCCUGGAAACUUCUCCAGUCACAUGUGAUGUGGUCCUCUCUGCUGUCAGACCUCCAAAGGCUCUGUUGGCCUUGGGAUAAAGGUAAACUGCCUGCUGCUUACCCUCCUGCCUCCACAGCCCUCCAGCCUAGCUCCUUGGAGGCUCCGUGCUCACCCUGCCUCAGGACCUUUGCACAGGCUGAUCCCCCUGUUCUCAAGGCUCUAUCCUCCUUCCUCAUCCAGCCAAUUUCUGUUAUUUCAGGUGUCAUCCUUUCAGUCCACCCUUCCUAAAGCCUGAUCUGGCCCCUACUGUGGCCACAUCCUCCAUCCAUCUCCCGCUGCCUACCUAGUAUUCUCACUGUUGGGUUUCACCUGUUUCUGUGUGAUUUGCAGAUUACCAUCUACUUCCCCCCAAGCCUGUGAGCUCUCCAGGGAACAGGGACUGCAUCUGAGAUCUUUUCCUUGUGUCCCCCAGGGCCUGUCUUGUGUGGUACACACAAGUGGGUCCUCAAUAAAUAUUAAAUGAAUAAUCAGAUGCAUGGGAGCUAGAGAAGAAUGGGACCUGGGAAAUGUGGGGAGCCAAGCAUUUCUCACAACAAUCGUUCCAGGGGAAAACUUGAGCCAUGCUUGGAAGCUCUGAGUCCAACAGCAGCAUGAAGGUCACCAGGCCCCAUGGUCGGAUAGGGAUGGGAAGAAGAGUCACCUUCCUGUCCCCUUAAGCCUUGAAAAGACACUGAACUGGAAAUGCCCAUCACAGCUGACACUUAUUGGCCAGCCACGUCCCACAUUUGCCCCAGUUCCCUCCACAGCCUUACAAGGUCAGCAUCCUGAUCCCCAGCUACAGACAGGGAGGCCAAGACCGCCAGGCUGGGCACUUUGGCCCAGGGGUCAAAGCUGGUGAACGUCAGGGCCAUCUGCAAACCCAAAUCCAACAACCACCAGAUUCUCUUACCCUCACCCCUUCUGAGAUCACCUACUUCACUUUGUUUCCCUUUCCUUUGUUUUUUUAGAAAGCAAUAACACGCGGAAAAAAGUACCACCUGGUCAUUUUGCAGAGAGACAGACAGAGGGCACCAGUGAGAUCACUCAAGGGCAGUCUAACCACUCAGGUCUCCUGGUUCCUGGUUCAGUGAUCUCAAAGCAUCGACCGUAUUGGUUCCUCCCACCCAGGACCAUGAGCCCUUUGGCCAUUCUUUGUUGGUUCCCACCUUGGCCCAGAGGAAAAAGGAAAAAGAGUUUGGGUCUCUUCCUCCUGCUACUGAGAGCCACAAUCUUGCAUAGAAGUUCUAUAGCUGGGGACAGUAACAUGCGCCUGUAGUCCCAGCUCUUGGGAGACUGAGGCAGGAGAAUCACUUAUGCCCAGGAGUUAGAAGCCAGCCUGGGCAUCAUAGCGAAACCCCAUCUCAAAAAUAAAUAAAAAGGGCUAGAAUGAACUCAGAGGUGGAAUGCACGCCUAGUACAUGUGAGGUCCUGGGUUCAAAUCCCAUUCACUCUCACACUCAAACACACACGGAGUUCUAAGCCAGUGAUUCUCAAGUGUCCUCUUGACCAACAGAAUUAAUGUUUGCUGGGGAUUUGUUAGAUUCAUCAGUUCUCAGGCCCCAUCUCAGACCUACUGAAUCAGAAACUUUGAGAGAUGAGCAAAAAUCUAUAUUUUAACAAUUCCUCCAGGGGAUUCUGAUGUAUACUCGAAUUUAAGUAUCACUGUUCUAGCCAGAUAUGGUGUCACAUGCCUAUAAUCCCAGCUAUUAGGGAGGCUGUGGCAGGAGGAUAUCAAGGUCAAGUCCAGCCCGCAGAAUUUAGCAAGAAUUUGUUUUAAAAAUAAACUUUAAAAAGCCCGGGGAUGUAUCCCAGUGGUAGGCCCAGCAUGCCUGAGGCCCUGGGUUCAAUCCCUAGUAUCAGGAGAAAAAAAAAAUAUUUUGAGCAAAUCCUUGAGAAUUUGGGCCAAAUUAAAGUGAGAACAAACCAGUUUGUGGCUGCUCCUAACUAAAGGCUGCUACCCUCUCUUCCAGCCCAGUCUCAAAGCCUGGGCUGCAGCCUUAUCUGAGCUCCAGGAGCCUGGGCAGAGCUCCAGGAGCAUCCAGAUGAGCAGAGAAAGAGCAUGCCACGUGGCCUUUCUCCACAUUUUCCUCCUCCUCCUCCUCCUCCUUCUCCUCCUCUUCUCCCCAGCCUCCCCUCUGCACAUUUUUGGCAAGUAGCUAAACGACUGUAUCUAGGAGACCCAGACAGGCUAAGCUAACCACAGUGACUUGUCAUAUAUUACAGAACAGCAGAUAUCCCGGGUCCAGCUGAACAUGAGAUCAGCUAGAAACAAUGCUGUUUGCGCCCUGUGUGUUAUCGUGUGGUGUGGUUGCUGCGUGUCGGGGGUGCAGGCAGAGGAGGUCUCCCUAUUCUUGUGAGGAGGGAAGGCAGAAAGGCCAGCUGUCCUUUCUGAGCUCUGGUCUGCUGCUUUCUCUCCUGAAACCGUGAAUUGCAACAUGGGCAUUCUUCUAACCAAAGUCAGGAGCAGGCAUUGGCUCUGGCCUCUGGGGCUGGGGAGAGGUAAUUCGGGUCAGAGUCCUCCACCACUUCCUGGGCCCUGGGAUGUGAUGGAAAUGCUCACAAAGCCUUUCUUCCCACCUUGGUGUCCCUAUCAGUGCUGUGGGUGGUAUCCUGCCACUAAAAGGGAGCAGGACUCCAUUCUGUUCCUUUCUCUAGAUCAGUUACAGUGCUUUGAGUUACAUAUAUAACCAAAAAUAAAUAGAUCAAUUAAAUAUGGUUUAUUAUCUCACAUAAAAAGGAAUUCCAAAACAAGCUAGCUCUGGAUCUGACUGAUCUGACAGGCCAACAGAAUCAGCCCCCAUUCCAGGACCUUCCUGUUUCCACUCUGCCGUGGUUGGUGUUUAAGUCUCAUCUUUGAGCUUGUCCUCUCUUAGUUGCAAAAUGACUGCCUUUGCUCCAGGUAUCACAUAUUCACCAGAUGCUUUGGUGACCAGAGGCAAUGGAAAAGGGAAUUCUUUCUUACUGCCCCUGUUUAUUUUAUUAUAUAGAUUUUCAAACAUACUUAAGAAGACAGAAUAUUAUGGAGACUCUACCUCCCCAACUUACCCAUCACCCAACUUUAGUCAUGAUCACACGGCCACUUUAUGUCAUCUUUAUUCCCUCUCUACAUACCCUAUGUUACGGCUUUGACCUAAAACACCCCCCAGAAGUCUCAUGUGCAGAGAUAGGACUUGGUCAGAGGGGGUGGGUCACUUGGGGCAUGACCUGGAACAGUGUAUUCUUAUCCUGUAUCUCACCUCUUACUCUCUGCUUCUGCUGCCAAGACAUGAGCAGCUUUUCUCCACCAAGCCCUUCUAUCAUGUUGUUGCUGCCUUGGAGCUGGCCAACCAUGAACUGAACCCACUAAAACUAUGAGCCAAAUGAGUCUCUCCUCCUUUAAGUUGUGGGUGUCUGGUAUUUUGUCCCAGUGACAAGAAAGCUGACCAAUAUCCCCUGAAUUUUCUCAAGGCAAAUCCCAGACAUCACCUCCCAUUUAGUAACAGUAGCUAACAGAUAAUGACUCUUCAAUAAAAGAUCAUAACUCAUAAUGUCUUUGUCACACUAAUGAUAUUAAAGUAAUGCCCUAAAAUUGUCUCACAUCUAAUCAUUGUUCACAUUUCCUCAACUGUCAUAAAAAAUUUUGUCUUA
Molecule: non-coding RNA, 6474 nt
Organism: Heterocephalus glaber (naked mole-rat)
Lineage: Eukaryota; Metazoa; Chordata; Mammalia; Rodentia; Bathyergidae
Source: RefSeq, a predicted model, not a curated record